This 472-nucleotide ribosomal RNA is filed under the name uncultured bacterium. RNAcentral's name for it is "bacterial SSU rRNA". It matches the Rfam family "Bacterial small subunit ribosomal RNA", at positions 355 to 825 of the family's 1533-position model. The record is from RNAcentral.
UGGGGAAUUUUGGACAAUGGGCGAAAGCCUGAUCCAGCAAUGCCGCGUGCAGGAAGAAGGCCUUCGGGUUGUAAACUGCUUUUGUACGGAACGAAAAGGCUCUUUCUAAUAAAGAGGGCCCAUGACGGUACCGUAAGAAUAAGCACCGGCUAACUACGUACCAGCAGCCGCGGUAAUACGUAGGGUGCGAGCGUUAAUCGGAAUUACUGGGCGUAAAGCGUGCGCAGGCGGUUCUAUAAGACAGAUGUGAAAUCCCCGGGCUCAACCUGGGAAUGGCAUUUGUGACUGUAGAGCUAGAGUACGGUAGAGGGGGAUGGAAUUCCGCGUGUAGCAGUGAAAUGCGUAGAUAUGCGGAGGAACACCGAUGGCGAAGGCAAUCCCCUGGACCUGUACUGACGCUCAUGCACGAAAGCGUGGGGAGCAAACAGGAUUAGAUACCCUUGUAGUCCCUGAGCGGGCUGGCAAGGCGCAU